RNAcentral lists this transfer RNA (74 nucleotides) under Caudoviricetes sp. Its description in RNAcentral is "tRNA-OTHER". It matches the Rfam family "tRNA". From Rfam's summary of the family: Transfer RNA (tRNA) molecules are approximately 80 nucleotides in length. Their secondary structure includes four short double-helical elements and three loops (D, anti-codon, and T loops). The record is from RNAcentral. Lineage: Duplodnaviria; Heunggongvirae; Uroviricota; Caudoviricetes.
GCCUCUUUAACUCAAUGGGCAAGAGCCCGAUCGUAUGACUUUUCGGGACGCCGGUUCAAGUCCGGCGAGAGGCA